Molecule: unclassified non-coding RNA, 331 nt
Filed under: soil metagenome
Description: partial contains 5.8S ribosomal RNA, internal transcribed spacer 2, and large subunit ribosomal RNA
Rfam family: 5.8S ribosomal RNA (bases 1-120)
Source: RNAcentral
GAUGAAGAACGCAGCGAAAUGCGAUAAGUAAUGUGAAUUGCAGAAUUCAGUGAAUCAUCGAAUCUUUGAACGCACAUUGCGCCCCCCAGUAUUCUGGCGGGCAUGCCUGUUCGAGCGUCAUUUCAACCAUCAAGCCCUGCUUGUGUUGGGGUCCUGCGGCUGCCCGCAGGCCCUGAAAACCAGUGGCGGGCUCGCUAGUCACACCGAGCGCAGUAGCACAUCUCGCUCAGGGCGUGCGGCGGGCUCCAGCCGUUAAAGCACCCACCUUUCGCAAGGUUGACCUCGGAUCAGGUAGGAAUACCCGCUGAACUUAAGCAUAUCAAUAAGCGGA